RNAcentral lists this ribosomal RNA (495 nucleotides) under uncultured bacterium. RNAcentral describes it as "partial 16S ribosomal RNA". It matches the Rfam family "Bacterial small subunit ribosomal RNA", at positions 28 to 523 of the family's 1533-position model. The record is from RNAcentral.
GAUGAACGCUAGCGGGAGGCCUAACACAUGCAAGCCGAGCGGAAUUGUUUCUUCGGAAAUGAGAGAGCGGCGUACGGGUGCGUAACACGUGUGCAACCUGCCUUUAUCUGGGGGAUAGCCUUUCGAAAGGAAGAUUAAUACUCCAUAAUAUAUUGAACGGCAUCGUUUAAUAUUGAAAGCUCCGGCGGAUAGAGAUGGGCACGCGCAAGAUUAGCUAGUUGGUGAGGUAACGGCUCACCAAGGCGAUGAUCUUUAGGGGGCCUGAGAGGGUGAUCCCCCACACUGGUACUGAGACACGGACCAGACUCCUACGGGAGGCAGCAGUGAGGAAUAUUGGUCAAUGGGUGCAAGCCUGAACCAGCCAUCCCGCGUGAGGGACGACUGCCCUAUGGGUUGUAAACUUCUUUUGUAUAGGGAUAAACCUACCCUCGUGAGGGUAGCUGAAGGUACUAUACGAAUAAGCACCGGCUAACUCCGUGCCAGCCGCCGCAGUAA